AAUAAUAAUAAUUUAUACUCUGCCCCAUCUCCCCAAGGGGACUCAGAGCAGCUAACAGCAGUAUAAAUAACACAACAAUAAUAAAAAUAAAACGAUUAUAAUAAAACAAUAAACCAAUAAAACCAAUUUAAAUAGAAUCAACACAAGUAAAUAAUCCAUAAAAAUAUGAAAAAGUGAACCAAACAAAUUAACAACAAACAUAAUUCUUUAAAACCAGAAUUAUAUGGUAAAAAACAAUUAAAACAUCUCCACCACUGCUCAGGUUAGUGAGACCAAGGUUCAGUUUAGAAAUUGUAGUCCAUUUAGGUUAUCUGGGCGUUGUGUGCUGUUAUGUUUAACCGUUAUCAAAGGUCUGUUUAUAAAGUCAGAUUUUCAAUUCCUUCUGGAAUAUUGAAAGUGUAGAGUCUUGCCUAAUUUCCCUGGGAAGGGUGAUCCAGAGCUGGGGGGCACUACUGAGAAGGCUCUCUCCCCACCAACCAUGAUUGCAAUAGAGGGGAACUGUGAAAAGGACCUCCCUAGACAAUCUCAGGGCCCGCACAGGUUCAUAGAGAUGCAGUCGUGUAAACAGGCUGGACCUGAAACAUUUGUAGGUAAUAACCUGCACUUUGAAUUGGGCCCAGUAAUAUAUAGGUAGCCAAUGGAGUUGCUUUAGGAGGGGGGUGGUGUGCUCCCUGUAAUUUGCUCCAGUCAAAAAGAAAAAAAUCAUCCAGGGAGAUGUAUGAAAAUGGUACGAAUCAGGGGACCUUCAUGUUGAUCUCAAUAACUAUCACUGGGCAAGGUUCAGUUAUGCAUAGCUUCAGAAUAUAACUACAUUCAUUCUUAAAAGCAACUCUCUUAAGCAUCACCAUGAGCUGCAAUUGAUUUGGGAUAGUAAUCUGUCAAUAAUCUGCAUUUCCACCAAGCCUCUUGGGAUACAAUGGCAUAAACGUCUGUCUCCCUAAAACUGCAGUCAGUUUCCCCACCCCCCUCAAGUUGUUGCAGCAUGAGAAAGAGGUCAUCAGGUUGCCCUUUUUAUUUUUUUAAGGUGGGAAUGUAUCUGUAUUAACAAAAUCCCAUUCACAGUAUAACAGGAACACAGGACUGCCUGUGAUGCCCCACCUCCUCUUUCCCCCCUCUGUCUUUUUUGUUGGUGGUUUAUUUGUUUUUGUUUUAUCUCUAAUUUAGCAACAGCACUGCAGAGAAAAA
This is a long non-coding RNA of Anolis carolinensis (green anole), 1185 nucleotides long. RefSeq lists it as uncharacterized. NCBI's taxonomy places the organism in Eukaryota, Metazoa, Chordata, Lepidosauria, Squamata, Anolidae. The transcript has 2 exons. The record is from RefSeq and is a predicted model, not a curated record.